GUCCUCGUAGCUCAGCUGGUAGAGCAUGCGCGUGCAAAGCGUAGGCGGUGUCCCUGCGUGAGUUCGAAUCCUAUCGAAGCUG
RNAcentral lists this transfer RNA (82 nucleotides) under Echinostoma caproni. It matches the Rfam family "tRNA". From Rfam's summary of the family: Transfer RNA (tRNA) molecules are approximately 80 nucleotides in length. The record is from Rfam by way of RNAcentral. Lineage: Eukaryota; Metazoa; Platyhelminthes; Trematoda; Plagiorchiida; Echinostomatidae.